Molecule: ribosomal RNA, 253 nt
Filed under: uncultured bacterium
Lineage: Bacteria
Description: partial 16S ribosomal RNA
Rfam family: Bacterial small subunit ribosomal RNA
Source: RNAcentral
UACGGAGGGUGCAAGCGUUGUCCGGAUUUAUUGGGUUUAAAGGGUGCGUAGGUGGCUUGUUAAGUCCGGGGUGAAAGCCCACAGCUCAACAGUGGAACUGCCCUGGAUACUGGCGGGCUUGAGUCCAGACGAGGUUGGCGGAAUGGAUGGUGUAGCGGUGAAAUGCAUAGAUACCAUCCAGAACCCCGAUUGCGUAGGCAGCUGACUAGGCUGGUACUGACACUGAGGCACGAAAGCGUGGGGAGCGAACAGG